GCGCCCGGCCCCGCCGCCGCUCGCGCCGGCUCGUCCGCGUGCGGCGAGGAGGCGCCGCGCCGCACCGCCCGGCUGGGACCGAGACCCGGGGAGGGACCCGCCGCCCCGGUGCCCUCCGCGGGGAGUCGCCGGGGGCAGCCCGGAGGGGGACGCAGGGAAGCGCUCGCCUUUCUCAGGCCGCAGACAAAAGGGCGCCGAGCGGCCGCCGCAGCCCCCACUGCUGCCGAGGCUCCGUCCCUCGCCGCCGCCGCCGCCGCCUCCUGUGUGUCCGGCUGAACCAUAGAGAUCAUUUAAGGCGGGGGGAGAGAGGGGCUCAUCCGCUGCCCACGUGACUGGACAUGUCACUCACCCGGCCAGCGCCAUCUUGGAGCGGGAGGGGGGACGCUGCUCGCAGCUCGUAUUCAAGAUGGCGCGGGCCGUGCGGGAGGCUGCUAUUCACAGACGGACGCUGCGCCACUCCACUGUAGCUCUCCCUGCGAUUCCUGCCGGACUGCACAGGAAGGUGCUACGUCCGUCCUGGGGGAUGCCGGGAGGGGGAGACUCUACUGCUCUCGAUCCGGGGCCCCAUGAAAGACGCGGGAAAAGCGGCGGCCGGGGCGGAGGCCGUGCGCAUGCCCCAGCACCGCCCGCGGAGAGCCGAGGCGGGCCGUAUCAGAAAUGAAAAAAUAAAACAACCCAACAGGAAAACA
Molecule: long non-coding RNA, 689 nt
Filed under: Apteryx rowi (Okarito brown kiwi)
Lineage: Eukaryota; Metazoa; Chordata; Aves; Apterygiformes; Apterygidae
Description: lncRNA (ENSARWG00000004372.1)
Source: RNAcentral